GACGAACGCUGGCGGCGUGCCUAACACAUGUAAGUCGAACGGGACUGGGGGCAACUCCAGUUCAGUGGCAGACGGGUGCGUAACACGUGAGAAACUUGUCCGACGGAGGGGGAUAGCCGGCCCAACGGCCGGGUAAUACCGCAUACGAUCUUUCGGGGGCAUCCCUGGGAGAUGAAAGCCGCCGCAAGGUGGCACCGACGGAGAGUCUCGCGGCCUAUCAGCUUGUUGGCGGGGUAAUGGCCCACCAAGGCGACGACGGGUAGCUGGUCU
RNAcentral lists this ribosomal RNA (270 nucleotides) under uncultured bacterium. Its description in RNAcentral is "partial 16S ribosomal RNA". It matches the Rfam family "Bacterial small subunit ribosomal RNA", at positions 28 to 293 of the family's 1533-position model. The record is from RNAcentral.